CCAGCAGCCGCGGUAAUUCCAGCUCCAAUAGCGUAUAUUAAAGUUGUUGCAGUUAAAAAGCUCGUAGUUGGAUUUGUGGUGUGUCCUGCCGGUCUGAGGGCUUUGCCCUUGGUAACUGUGCGGGUCUGCCUUUUUUGGGUGGAACCUGUGUGGCAUUAGGUUGUCGUGCAGGGGAUGCCCAUCGUUUACUGUGAAAAAAUUAGAGUGUUCAAAGCAGGCUUAUGCCGUUGAAUAUAUUAGCAUGGAAUAAUGAUAUAGGACCUUGGUACUAUUUUGUUGGUUUGCGCACUGAGGUAAUGAUUAAUAGGGACAGUUGGGGGUAUUCGUAUUCCAUUGUCAGAGGUGAAAUUCUUGGAUUUUUGGAAGACGAACUACUGCGAAAGCAUUUACCAAGGAUGUUUUCAUUAAUCAAGAACGAAAGU
Molecule: ribosomal RNA, 422 nt
Filed under: uncultured Nitzschia
Lineage: Eukaryota; Bacillariophyta; Bacillariophyceae; Bacillariales; Bacillariaceae
Description: SSU rRNA
Rfam family: Eukaryotic small subunit ribosomal RNA
Source: RNAcentral